This 297-nucleotide long non-coding RNA is filed under the name Malus domestica (apple). Its description in RNAcentral is "long non-coding RNA (MDOM_LNC020847)". Lineage: Eukaryota; Viridiplantae; Streptophyta; Magnoliopsida; Rosales; Rosaceae. The record is from RNAcentral.
ACCUGAUUUAUAUUUUUAUUUAUGUCAUGGCAUGUUUUCUUGAAAAUGUUAAAGAUUUGAGAUUUAAAUGUUGAGAUUUUAUAUGGUUAUAUAUUUCUGGGAAAGUAUACAGGUUUUUACGGCGAGGGGAUAUAACUGUUUUAAUGAAAUGUUUUGGAAAACUAAUUUGUUUUACUGACCCACUCAUUUUGUUUUGCGCCCCUCCAGGUUCUAGUUUAGCGGUGGUUGGCUCACGAGGUCCUUUCCGGCUUUCUGACAGAUUUGGGACAUGUAGGACUCACCUGAGGGUGAUGUAUU